RNAcentral lists this ribosomal RNA (506 nucleotides) under uncultured bacterium. RNAcentral's name for it is "partial 16S ribosomal RNA". It matches the Rfam family "Bacterial small subunit ribosomal RNA", at positions 29 to 523 of the family's 1533-position model. The record is from RNAcentral.
AGUGAACGCUGGCGGUAGGCCUAACACAUGCAAGUCGAACGGCAGCACAGGAGAGCUUGCUCUCUGGGUGGCGAGUGGCGGACGGGUGAGGAAUACAUCGGAAUCUACUCUGUCGUGGGGGAUAACGUAGGGAAACUUACGCUAAUACCGCAUACGACCUACGGGUGAAAGCAGGGGACCUUCGGGCCUUGCGCGAUUGAAUGAGCCGAUGUCGGAUUAGCUAGUUGGCGGGGUAAAGGCCCACCAAGGCGACGAUCCGUAGCUGGUCUGAGAGGAUGAUCAGCCACACUGGAACUGAGACACGGUCCAGACUCCUACGGGAGGCAGCAGUGGGGAAUAUUGGACAAUGGGCGCAAGCCUGAUCCAGCCAUACCGCGUGGGUGAAGAAGGCCUUCGGGUUGUAAAGCCCUUUUGUUGGGAAAGAAAUCCAGCUGGCUAAUGCGCGGUUGGGAUGACGGUACCCAAAGAAUAAGCACCGGCUAACUUCGUGCCAGCAGCCGCAGUAA